UACGUAGGGUGCAAGCGUUAAUCGGAAUUACUGGGCGUAAAGCGUGCGCAGGCGGUUUGCUAAGACAGGUGUGAAAUCCCCGGGCUUAACCUGGGAACUGCGCUUGUAACUGGCAAGCUGGAGUGUGGCAGAGGGGGGUGGAAUUGCCGGUGUAGUGGUGAAAUGCGUAGAGAUCGGCAGGAACACCCAGGGGGAAACCAGCCGACUGGGCAUCAACUGACGCUGAUGUGCGAGAGCGUGGGGAGCGAACCGG
RNAcentral lists this ribosomal RNA (253 nucleotides) under uncultured bacterium. Its description in RNAcentral is "partial 16S ribosomal RNA". It matches the Rfam family "Bacterial small subunit ribosomal RNA", at positions 524 to 776 of the family's 1533-position model. The record is from RNAcentral.